Catharus ustulatus (Swainson's thrush) is the source of this 1137-nucleotide long non-coding RNA. RefSeq lists it as uncharacterized. The transcript is spliced from 3 exons. The record is from RefSeq and is a predicted model, not a curated record. Lineage: Eukaryota; Metazoa; Chordata; Aves; Passeriformes; Turdidae.
UUCAUCCCAUUUUUCAUCCCAGGUGAUUCCCCAUCCCAAAUCCCACACUCAAUCAUCCUCCAGGAUCCAUCCCAGGUUAUCCCAUCUCUGGAUGAUCUCCCAGAUCCCAUCCCAGGUUAUUCCUGGCUUAGAUGAUCCCACAGAACCCAUCCCAGGUGAUUCCCUGUCCCAAAUCCCACACUGAAUGAUCCCACAGAAUCCAUCCCAAGGGAUUCCUUUCCCAAAUCCCACAAGGGAUGAUCGCACUGACCCCUAUCCCAAAUCCCACACUGAAUCAUCUUCCAGGAUCCAUCCCAGGUGAUUCCCAAAUCCCAGACUGGAUGAUCCCACAGAAUCCAUCCCAAGUGAUUUCUAUCCCAAACCCCACAGCAGAUGAUCCCACAGGACCCAUUCCAGAUAAUUCCUAUCCCAGUUCCCAUAUUAGAUGAUUCCAAGGUCCCAUCCCAGGUGAUUUCUAUCCCAAAUCCCACACUGGAUGGUGCCCCAGAUCCCAUUCCAGGUAAUUCCUAUCCCAGAUCAUUCUCAGUUCCUAUCCCAGGUGAUUUCUAUCCCAAACCCCACAGCAGAUGAUCCCACAGAACCCAUUCCAGAUAAUUCCCAUCCCAGUUCCCAUAUCAGAUGAUCCCAAGGUCUCAUCCCAGGUGAUCCCCAUCCCAAAUCCCACAAGGGAUGAUCCCACUGAGCCCUGUCCCAAAUCCCACACUGGACGAUCCCACAGAAUCCAUCCCAGGUAAUUCCUAUCCCAGCUGAUCUCACAGAAUCCAUCCCAGGUGAUUCCUGUCCCAAAUCCCACAAGGGAUGAUCCCACUGACCCUGUCCCAAAUCCCACACUGGAUGAUCCCACAGAAUCCAUCCCAGGUGAUUCCCUGUCCCAAAUCCCACAGCAGAUGAUCCCACAGGACCCAUCCAGGUAAUUCCCUGUCCCAAAUCCCACAGCACAUGAUUCCACAGAACUCAUCCCAGGUAAUUCCUAUCCUGGAUGAUCCCAUAGAAUCCAUCCCAGGUGAUUCCUGUCCCAAAUCCCACAGCAGAUGAUCCCACAGAACUCAUCCCAGGUAAUUCCCUGUCCCAAAUCCCACACUGGAUGAUGUCCCAGAUCCCAUCCCAGGUAAUUCCUAUCCCAGAUCAUUCCCAGUU